RNAcentral lists this ribosomal RNA (975 nucleotides) under Vreelandella aquamarina. Its description in RNAcentral is "bacterial SSU rRNA". It matches the Rfam family "Bacterial small subunit ribosomal RNA", at positions 391 to 1358 of the family's 1533-position model. The record is from RNAcentral. Lineage: Bacteria; Pseudomonadati; Pseudomonadota; Gammaproteobacteria; Oceanospirillales; Halomonadaceae.
GCCAUGCCGCGUGUGUGAAGAAGGCCCUCGGGUUGUAAAGCACUUUCAGCGAGGAAGAACGCCUAGCGGUUAAUACCCGCUAGGAAAGACAUCACUCGCAGAAGAAGCACCGGCUAACUCCGUGCCAGCAGCCGCGGUAAUACGGAGGGUGCAAGCGUUAAUCGGAAUUACUGGGCGUAAAGCGCGCGUAGGUGGCUUGAUAAGCCGGUUGUGAAAGCCCCGGGCUCAACCUGGGAACGGCAUCCGGAACUGUCAAGCUAGAGUGCAGGAGAGGAAGGUAGAAUUCCCGGUGUAGCGGUGAAAUGCGUAGAGAUCGGGAGGAAUACCAGUGGCGAAGGCGGCCUUCUGGACUGACACUGACACUGAGGUGCGAAAGCGUGGGUAGCAAACAGGAUUAGAUACCCUGGUAGUCCACGCCGUAAACGAUGUCGACCAGCCGUUGGGUGCCUAGCGCACUUUGUGGCGAAGUUAACGCGAUAAGUCGACCGCCUGGGGAGUACGGCCGCAAGGUUAAAACUCAAAUGAAUUGACGGGGGCCCGCACAAGCGGUGGAGCAUGUGGUUUAAUUCGAUGCAACGCGAAGAACCUUACCUACUCUUGACAUCCUGCGAAUUUGGUAGAGAUACCUUAGUGCCUUCGGGAACGCAGAGACAGGUGCUGCAUGGCUGUCGUCAGCUCGUGUUGUGAAAUGUUGGGUUAAGUCCCGUAACGAGCGCAACCCUUGUCCUUAUUUGCCAGCGCGUAAUGGCGGGAACUCUAAGGAGACUGCCGGUGACAAACCGGAGGAAGGUGGGGACGACGUCAAGUCAUCAUGGCCCUUACGAGUAGGGCUACACACGUGCUACAAUGGUCGGUACAAAGGGUUGCCAACUCGCGAGAGUGAGCCAAUCCCGAAAAGCCGAUCUCAGUCCGGAUCGGAGUCUGCAACUCGACUCCGUGAAGUCGGAAUCGCUAGUAAUCGUGGAUCAAAAUGCC